UCCAGGGUAGUCGAGUGGACAAGGCACCUGCCCGGUAAGCAGAAGGGUGUGGGUUCGAUUCCCGCCCCUGGAC
RNAcentral lists this transfer RNA (73 nucleotides) under Cordylochernes scorpioides. Its description in RNAcentral is "tRNA-Thr". It matches the Rfam family "tRNA". Rfam says of the family: Transfer RNA (tRNA) molecules are approximately 80 nucleotides in length. Lineage: Eukaryota; Metazoa; Arthropoda; Arachnida; Pseudoscorpiones; Chernetidae. The record is from RNAcentral.